This 253-nucleotide ribosomal RNA is filed under the name uncultured microorganism. RNAcentral describes it as "partial 16S ribosomal RNA". It matches the Rfam family "Bacterial small subunit ribosomal RNA", at positions 524 to 776 of the family's 1533-position model. The record is from RNAcentral.
UACGUAGGGUGCGAGCGUUAAUCGGAUUUACUGGGCGUAAAGCGUGCGCAGGCGGCCCGUUAAGACAGGUGUGAAAUCCCUGGGCUCAACCUAGGAAUUGCGCUUGUGACUGGCGGGCUCGAGUACGGUAGAGGGGGGUGGAAUUCCUGGUGUAGCAGUGAAAUGCGUAGAGAUCAGGAGGAACACCAGUGGCGAAGGCGGCUCUCUGGCCAGUUACUGACGCUCAUGCGCGAAAGCGUGGGGAGCAAACAGG